RNAcentral lists this ribosomal RNA (315 nucleotides) under Triticum aestivum (bread wheat). RNAcentral's name for it is "partial small subunit ribosomal RNA". Lineage: Eukaryota; Viridiplantae; Streptophyta; Magnoliopsida; Poales; Poaceae. The record is from RNAcentral.
AUGAAGAGGAAGAGUACAGCAACAAUAGAUUCGUUUUUCAAGCCUAUUGCUUCUAGCUCUAAUGCAACUGAAAAUGCAAAUCCACCGGAGGAGCAACCUGUUGUAGAUGAUACUUCCAGCCCCAAUCUAGUUGAUAUGCAAACUGAUGAUCAAAAUAUUGUGGCACCACUAGAAACUAUAGAAGAAGGUAGAACUAGAAGCACGAAAUAUGUGAGGGAUCCUGGUACACGCCAACAGAUUUGGGACUCCAUCCUGAUAAGCAGGAAGAAGCACGUCGAUUCUAUAUUUCUAAGGGCGCUUUUCAUCCAUACAUGA